GUAGGCAUAAUUUAAUAAACAUACUAGAUUGUGAUUCUAGAAACAGAGGUUAAAACCCCCUUGCCCACC
This 69-nucleotide transfer RNA is filed under the name Parapercis cylindrica (cylindrical sandperch). Its description in RNAcentral is "tRNA-His". It matches the Rfam family "tRNA". From Rfam's summary of the family: Transfer RNA (tRNA) molecules are approximately 80 nucleotides in length. Their secondary structure includes four short double-helical elements and three loops (D, anti-codon, and T loops). Further hydrogen bonds mediate the characteristic L-shaped molecular structure. tRNAs have two regions of fundamental functional importance: the anti-codon, which is responsible for specific mRNA codon recognition, and the 3' end, to which the tRNAs corresponding amino acid is attached (by aminoacyl-tRNA synthetases). tRNAs cope with the degeneracy of the genetic code in two manners: having more than one tRNA (with a specific anti-codon) for a particular amino acid; and 'wobble' base-pairing, i.e. permitting non-standard base-pairing at the 3rd anti-codon position. Lineage: Eukaryota; Metazoa; Chordata; Actinopteri; Uranoscopiformes; Pinguipedidae. The record is from RNAcentral.